Molecule: ribosomal RNA, 496 nt
Filed under: uncultured bacterium
Lineage: Bacteria
Description: partial 16S ribosomal RNA
Rfam family: Bacterial small subunit ribosomal RNA
Source: RNAcentral
AUUGAACGCUGGCGGAAUGCUUUACGCAUGCAAGUCGAACGGUAGAGGGGGCAACCCCUCGAGAGUGGCGAACGGGUGAGUAAUAUAUCGGAACGUGCCCAGUCGUGGGGGAUAACGUAGCGAAAGUUACGCUGAUACCGCAUACGAUCUAAGGAUGAAAGCGGGGGAUCGCAAGACCUCGCGCGAUUGGAGCGGCCGAUAUCAGAUUAGGUAGUUGGUGGGGUAAAGGCUCACCAAGCCAACGAUCUGUAGCUGGUCUGAGAGGACGACCAGCCACACUGGAACUGAGACACGGUCCAGACUCCUACGGGAGGCAGCAGUGGGGAAUUUUGGACAAUGGACGCAAGUCUGAUCCAGCCAUUCCGCGUGCAGGAUGAAGGCCCUCGGGUUGUAAACUGCUUUUGUACGGAACGAAAAGGUCUCUCUUAAUACGGGGGACUCAUGACGGUACCGUAAGAAUAAGCACCGGCUAACUACGUGCCAGCCGCCGCUGUAA